CGCCUCCUGCCACCACCAAUUAUAGGAGGUCCCGCCUGCCCUGUGACCAAGUGUUUAACGGCCGCGGUAUUUUAACCGUGCGAAAGUAGCGCAAGCAAUUGUCUUUUAAAUGGAGACCUGUAUGAAUGGCAUAACGAGGGCUUAACUGUCUCCUCUUUCCAGUCAAUGAAAUUGAUCUCUCCGUGCAGAAGCGGAGAUAAAAACAUAAGACGAGAAGACCCUAUGGAGCUUUAGACACAAAGACAGAUCAUGUUAAACACCCCCCAAUAAAGGCCUAAACUUAAUGAUCCCCUGUCCUAAUGUCUUCGGUUGGGGCGACCAUGGGGAAACACAAAUCCCCCAUGUGGAAUAGGAGGACAAUCCCAUAUUAUUUUCCUCUCCUCCCACAAGCAAGAGCCACAACUCUAGCUAACAGAACUUUUGACCUUAUAUGAUCCGGCGCACGCCGAUCAACGGACCAAGUUACCCUAGGGAUAACAGCGCAAUCCCCUUUUAGAGCCCAUAUCGACAAGGGGGUUUACGACCUCGAUGUUGGAUCAGGACAUCCUAAUGGUGCAGCCGCUAUUAAGGGUUCGUUUGUUCAACGAUUAAAGUCCU
This 597-nucleotide ribosomal RNA is filed under the name Trachurus declivis (greenback horse mackerel). RNAcentral describes it as "partial 16S ribosomal RNA". It matches the Rfam family "Bacterial large subunit ribosomal RNA", at positions 1816 to 2597 of the family's 2925-position model. Lineage: Eukaryota; Metazoa; Chordata; Actinopteri; Carangiformes; Carangidae. The record is from RNAcentral.